Molecule: ribosomal RNA, 468 nt
Filed under: uncultured bacterium
Lineage: Bacteria
Description: partial 16S ribosomal RNA
Rfam family: Bacterial small subunit ribosomal RNA
Source: RNAcentral
GACGAACGCUGGCGGCGUGCUUAACACAUGCAAGUCGAACGGAAAGGUCCUGCUCUUGUGGGGUGCUCGAGUGGCGAACGGGUGAGUAACACGUGAGUAACCUGCCCUUGACUACGGGAUAACUUCAGGAAACUGGGGCUAAUACAGGAUAGGAGCUCCUGCCGCAUGGUGGGGGAUGGAAAGUUUCGGCGGUUGGGGAUGGACUCGCGGCUUAUCAGCUUGUUGGUGGGGUAGUGGCUUACCAAGGCUUUGACGGGUAGCCGGCCUGAGAGGGUGACCGGCCACAUUGGGACUGAGAUACGGCCCAGACUCCUACGGGAGUCAGCAUUGGGGAAUAUUGCACAAUGGGCGGGAGACAAAUACAGCAACGCCGCGGGCGGGAUAACGGCCUUCGGGUUGUAAACCGCUUUCGCCUGUCACGAAGCGUGAGUGACGGUAUUGGGUAAAGAAUCACCAGCUAACUACGUG